AUCAGCCGCUAAUUCUUGUUCCCACCCAUUUUCCCUUUCUUCUACACCUUAUCUACUCUUUCAAUUAGAAAAGCCCUAUCCAAAAGCUAUAAUCAUCAGACAUACACACUCUCUUUUAUCUCCUCUCAUCUCUCUUAUACAGACAUAUCACACACACAUACAACCAUAACACUCCCCUCCCUCUUGAUGUUUCUGACCGACAGCCCGGUGACCACCGGCGCUGGUUAACCGGCAAGCUGAUACCCCCCCCCCCCUCGAUCUUUGUUACUCCGACUCACACCCCAUACACCCACAACUCUCCUUCAACCUUGCAUAACCCUCACACGCACAAUCGGAAGAGCGAGAACACCGGAAAGAGGAAGAUAAAUGGCGGCCGUGGAGGUGGUUAAGCCAGAGUGAAAGAGAUCGAUUAGAGAGAGAGAUGGGGGUGUCGGAGGUGGAGCAGCGCCGCCGCUCACGGCGGUGGCAGUGGAGACGGAAGUCGGCAGACUGUUGCCGGCAUUAAUGGCAGCAGCGACAGGGAUGGCGGUCAUGUUUAAUUGCUCAAGUUUUGGUUCGGGUUCUGUUACGGCACAGAUUUGGGGGAUAGUUUUGGGUCAGAUCUGGUCGAGUCUCGGUUUGGGUCAACAGUCAACGAUUUUGGUUCGGGCAGUGCCGUGUCCGGCGACGGUUCCACAGCGGCGCCGCCGUGCUUAUCGACAGUGAUGGUGGUGCCUGACCGACUUCGUCCGUGAGUGAUUCGCAUUCUGAGUCGCUCAACGAAGUCGAACCAGUCAACACAACCGGUUGACUGGUCAAUGCUGGUCAAUUGUCGGAUUUGGUGCUCGGUCAGCCUCAGCUCCUGUUCAAGACUCGGUUAGACCCGAGUCAACUCGGGUCAACUCUGUCGGGUCUCGUUUCGGGUGAAACAGGGUUCACCUCGGUUCGACAAGUUCAAUGUUAUGGUCAAAAGACGGUUAACGGAAGCCAAGCAGUCAAUGCGUGACCCGGUAACAGUUAAACGACGUGAAUAUUUAUUACAUAGUUGAUAUAUUUUAUAGUUGUCGUGAAACUGAGCUCGAACCGAAUAUAUUUAGUGGUUUGUUCUUAUAUUUUUACAAUACCUGGUGAAAAGUUUUGGUAUAUUUUGAUUAAAUAUAUUGUUUAUGUCAUUGUUGAA
Long non-coding RNA from Helianthus annuus (common sunflower), 1159 nucleotides. RefSeq lists it as uncharacterized. NCBI's taxonomy places the organism in Eukaryota, Viridiplantae, Streptophyta, Magnoliopsida, Asterales, Asteraceae. The record is from RefSeq and is a predicted model, not a curated record. The transcript has 2 exons.